This 2590-nucleotide long non-coding RNA is filed under the name Prunus persica (peach). RNAcentral describes it as "long non-coding RNA (PPER_LNC006837)". Lineage: Eukaryota; Viridiplantae; Streptophyta; Magnoliopsida; Rosales; Rosaceae. The record is from RNAcentral.
AGGCCCUUCUCAUAUAGGAUGGAUGCACGACAGCGGGUAAUAAUAAACUAGUUUAUAUUCAACAUUUUUUUCGUACUAACAUUUUUCUUCUCUUGUUCAAUUCAGGGUGAGAAUACCUAUAGGAUAUCUAUAUAUGCCUGGAGAAGGUUAAACAAGCUAAUUCGAAUUUUUUGCAAUAAAUAAUGAUCAACCUUUGAAGCAGGAUUGAUAUUAGUUAUCAAUCCUGGGAUGUGCAAAGCUUAAAAUAAAAGAACACGCAGAGAAUUAUUUUACGUGGUAAAACCCCUUCUCUGGGGAAAAUCCACGGGACUCCUCAGUCUAACUCAAAUCCACUAUAGAACAAUGAUUACAAGAAGUACUCACACACUUAUCCUAGACUCAUUCUAGAUAAUGUUUAUCGACUUCUUCGUAACUCAACUUCUGUCACAGGAUGAUCUUCGACACUCCUUAUGUUGAACGCAAUAAUAGCCACGAUUGCUUCAAGCUCGCCGGAGGAAAACCGCCACCACGGUCUUGGUGCACUCAACCGUAUGAGUCACCGACACGCAUAUGAAUGCAAUAUGAAUGAUUAAAGUGUUUGAUAAAUCAUCAAGUAAACAUGGAACACUUGAUGAUUUAUCUCAAAUAUGUGCACAACAGCUUUUGCUUAAGAAUUCUAUAUGCUCAACCCAAUAUCAGAAACUGUCAAAAACCAAAGAGAUGCAAGCUGCUUUUAUUCAAAGCUUCCUAUACCCAGUCAGAUGGCCGCACACGAGUACCAAACCCACUUCAAUUAUAACUAUGAACUUUUAGCUUAAUUUGGACUCUUAUGAAGACCACAAUUGGUUUUCCAACAUGAAUAUUAGUUCAAUAUGGAUUCUUAUUGAAAAACGCCAACCAAUCAAUUUUUAAUAGAAAAACAAUAUCUAUUAAAACAAAAAACUCAAACUAGGAAUCCUAUAAUGAAUGCAUGAUUAUGUCAUGAUUUACCUGAAAUUAAGUUUCUCAUAUCGGUCAAGUCAAGCCUCGGAUGUAUGGGGUUGAAUGAGUUGUGCCAAAACGUCCAGUAACAAUUCUUCACACACUAAUUUUUAACCUAUGCUAGAGUCUAGGAAAUGACAACACUAUUUUCAUACUAACAAUCUCCCCCUUUGGCAUUUUCUAGACAAAACACCUAUUACAACUCAAAAGAAAUUGCAUGGGAUUAAACAAAUGAAAUCCUACUCUAAAUUAGAAGCUCUGAAUCCCUGCACAUUAGGAAACAACAAAAUCAGUGAAGCAUGUGGGAGAAGAAAUGUAAUCCAAAGCAAAAUUACAACACAACUCCCCCUUAAUUCCACAACACAAUUUCUCCCCCUUUUUAUCAUAAUUUCACACGGUCAUCUCUCUCCUUUUUUGUCAGGAAAUCCAAAGGGUAAGGAAAGAACAUAAAAGAGCUAAUAUAAAGGUAUAAAGAAAUCACCAAAUGAAUGCACAAGAAAUAGCAAGAUGUCCAAAGCCAAAAAAGAAAGGGAUAACAGUAGCAUGCAUUAAGAUAUGAGAAAAAAAUUAUCACAAAAAAAAAAAAAAACCAAACAUAUGAGGGAUGAACACUGUGUUUGAAAAACAAAAGAAGUUUCGAAUUUUUCUUUUUGUUUUUUUUGUUUUUGUUUUUUUAAUAAAGAAAAGAUAAAGCUACAAACAAAUCUAAACAAUUAAAAAAAACGUAAACAGCACCUAGAAAAGAUAACAACACCACAAAGACAUAGAAUCACCAAAUACUAUGCUUAAUGAGAACCCAAGACUCCUCCUUCAUUCAAGCCCAAAAAAAAAUCUGGAGUACAUGCCAACACCAUGCAUAAGGAUAGACAAGCAAGACCAAUACCAACAUCUCUCUAGAAGCAUUUGAAGCAAAGUCUUUCAGGAUCUAGGGCACAUCAAAUCACAAAGGUUUAAUCAAACACAAGGAUUAUAAAAUGAAGAAUCAAAAAUAUUUGUAAGAAAUAAAGUCCAUCAAAUGAGUAAAUAUUAAAUCCCAAUCUCGUGUUAUGUGACUAAACUUGCUUAAUAAUAAAGAAAAAAUCCAACCAAAAGCAAGCCAAGAACAUAGAAUAAACACAUACAAAAUGCAUACAUAGGGCACCAAUUUUUUUUUUUUUUUUUCAAUGCUAACUUUAUUAAGCUUUCUACAAGACCCAUGUAACGGAUGUUAAAUCAAUGUGCUCAAGUCAGUUGACUUUAAGACAAUGAGUGUUAAAGCACCCCUAGGAUGUACUAACCCGAGUCAUGUAGGCUACAAAGAAGAACAAUGUGUACAAGAUCAAAGUUUUUUGACGCGAACCUCGACGUUGGUUAGACAAGAGGCCCGGUUACUUUGCCAAGAUCAAGCACUUAUUGUACUUUACUUUUAAAUGAAGAGAUACUAUAAAUUUGAGAGCUCAGUAGCAAAAAGUAUAAUGCAAAUCUAGUAUCAAGACAAGGGCAAGGAGAGGAUCCAUUCAAAAUUAUUAAGCAAGAUUUGAGUGUAUGUGCUAUAUGUGAGGCAUGUGAUUUAAUAAAAAGAGCAUUUAAUUGACUUUAUAAAAAAACAAAAACAGUUGAUAACCAUUCACAAAAACCCAACAUUAAUCUG